This 916-nucleotide ribosomal RNA is filed under the name uncultured bacterium. RNAcentral's name for it is "bacterial SSU rRNA". It matches the Rfam family "Bacterial small subunit ribosomal RNA", at positions 246 to 1155 of the family's 1533-position model. The record is from RNAcentral.
UUGUUGGUAAGGUAAAAGCUUACCAAGGCUUCGAUCAGUAGCUGGUCUGAGAGGACGACCAGCCACACUGGGACUGAGACACGGCCCAGACUCCUACGGGAGGCAGCAGUGGGGAAUUUUGGACAAUGGGGGCAACCCUGAUCCAGCCAUGCCGCGUGAGUGAAGAAGGCCUUCGGGUUGUAAAGCUCUUUCAGCCGGAACGAAACGGUUACGGAUAACACCCGUGACUACUGACGGUACCGGAAGAAGAAGCACCGGCUAACUACGUGCCAGCAGCCGCGGUAAUACGUAGGGUGCGAGCGUUAAUCGGAAUUACUGGGCGUAAAGCGUGCGCAGGUGGUUUUGUAAGUCAGAUGUGAAAGCSCCGGGCUCAACCUGGGAACUGCGUUUGAAACUACAAGACUAGAGUGUGGCAGAGGGGGGUGGAAUUCCGCGUGUAGCAGUGAAAUGCGUAGAGAUGUGGAGGAACACCGAUGGCGAAGGCAGCCCCCUGGGUCAACACUGACGCUCAGGCACGAAAGCAUGGGGAGCAAACAGGAUUAGAUACCCUGGUAGUCCAUGCCCUAAACGAUGUCAACUAGUUGUCGGGCCUUUACGGGCUUGGUAACGUAGCUAACGCGUGAAGUUGACCGCCUGGGGAGUACGAUCGCAAGAUUAAAACUCAAAUGAAUUGACGGGGACCCGCACAAGCGGUGGAUUAUGUGGAUUAAUUCGAUGCAACGCGAAAAACCUUACCUACCCUUGACAUGUAUCGAAGCCCGCAGAAAAGCGGGGGUGCCCGAAAGGGAACGAUAACACAGGUGCUGCAUGGCUGUCGUCAGCUCGUGUCGUGAGAUGUUGGGUUAAGUCCCGCAACGAGCGCAACCCUUGUCAUUAAUUGCCAUCAUUUAGUUGGGCACUUUAAUGAGACUGCCGG